AACACUGUUAACCUGCGGUACCUGCGGAAGGAUCAUUACAGAGUUGCAAAACUCCCAACCCUUUGUGAACGAACUUGCCAGUUGCCUCGGCGAGGAGCCCCUCAGGGGGCCGACCGCCGGCGGACUGCAAACUCUUUUAAACUACCAUUCUGAUUACUUAUUCAAUAAGUUAAAACUUUUAACAAUGGAUCU
Molecule: unclassified non-coding RNA, 192 nt
Filed under: soil metagenome
Description: partial contains 5.8S ribosomal RNA, internal transcribed spacer 2, and large subunit ribosomal RNA
Source: RNAcentral